This is a long non-coding RNA of Achroia grisella, 1909 nucleotides long. RefSeq lists it as uncharacterized. The transcript is spliced from 4 exons. NCBI's taxonomy places the organism in Eukaryota, Metazoa, Arthropoda, Insecta, Lepidoptera, Pyralidae. The record is from RefSeq and is a predicted model, not a curated record.
AAACAUAUCCAUUGAUCGUCUAUUCUUGCACGGUUUCGUCCCCCACCUCGGUGGAACGCUGUGGAAGCCGCCGCAGGUCGCCGCCAUUUUGUAGACAACUGCGCAGCUUGGCCCCGUUUGCCCGCGGCUAUAUAAGGCCCCCAUGACGUCAGCGCCCUCAUUGAUUUCCCAUCCUCGGUGUAGUUUGAACGUGCGCUUGUGAUGUGAAGUGACCAGUUUUUCAAGAAGUGAACUCUCUAUAGCCUGUCGGAUUCAGUCCCAUUGCGUUUCGCGUGGGUCUGCAUCCGUCGGCCGCCAUCUUGGCUGCCGCUGGGCGUGGUCGCUGCUAACUGCAAAAUGGGUUUGUAACGGUAUCAUGCAUUUAUUUAUUUAGUCUUUUAAUAUUGUACCUUAAUGUUUCAAUUUUUUUCUAUUGCUUAAUGGUAAAAUUGGAAUCAAAGUUUUAUUCAUAUUGAAUAAGAAAAUUGUAACAUAUGUUUAAGUAUGAAAAUAAAAGAAUUUUUAAAAAAAUAUUGUCGUAUUUCUGUACUUCAUUUUCUUUUUAUUUACUUGUGAUUUCACCACGCACAAAUGUAUUAUUCCAUGAGUCAUCGUCACAACGUGGAGAGAUAUGGACAUGUUGCUGGCGUCACGUGAUCGAGUUCGAGUGUUAGUCUGCUGAGUGGCGACUAGCUGUGGCGCAUCGGUUGCUUGCUGCACAUGCUACACCUGCACACUGGUGCUGCUCGUGGUAAACGCCGCGGAAACGAGUCCCUAUAGUCCCGGUUGUCAGCCCACUAGGUAAACGUUAGGCGAUUGCGUCACAAUUACAUUCUGUUUAGGAAAUGUCAAGGGCCCGCGCGCGGGCCCAUUCGUAUAACCUUGUCUUUAGACCUCAGAUGACAGCCAUUUCUACUUGAAACGCUGCCGCAUCGGCCUUCAACAGGGCUACGGCUGACUACUGCGUGAGCGCACGCGGAAACUUCCAUAGUAUCGAUCGUCUAUACCUAUGACUAAUAAGAUGACGUAGAUGGUGAGUCGUUUGUUGUUUACAAGAAUUAACUAUUAGAAAAGUUGAAACAACUUGGUUAAUUUUCAAUAUAAACAUAUCUAGUUAGUAGCUAUAUGAUUGUAGCAUAUCUGUCAUAUCAAAAGGAAUGCCUGCGGGCAUUAUUAGGUAAAUAAUGUUACACCCAUACAGGCAUACGAAAGCACGCGUUCCUACUACCGUGGUGGUACCGUUGCAAACGUUACGAAGACUAGAAACAAGCUGUAAUUGGUAUUCGACCAACUGCUGGUGUUUUAACGACCCGGCAGUCCACAGCGGCCGUCAUGACGGCGGCAGCUUUCACUAUUUAGCUGACUGGAUUGGGAACUGAGGCAGUCGUGAACCACGAAUUCACGUCUCCCACCCAUAAAACAAAAGCAAGGUGAAGCCCUCAAGCCGAAGGCUAGCCAGAAUCCAGUUGACAUUAGAGAGGACCAUCGACACCUCACCCAGAUAAGUCGUAUUGGUCAUAGUCGGUUACAUUAGUUGCAAUCUAUAGCUUUCGCAAAAAACUAUUAAAACACUGCAUUCAAGGAAAAAAGUCCCAGUACACAAAAAUAGAAAGUUAUAGCAAUUCUUCGAAUAUAAAGUUAAUAUAACACUAAUAUUUGUGAACGACCCACCAAGUAAUACUAAAUUUAUAAAGGAAUCUCUUAAGACAAAUGUAGAAUGAACGAUAUAUUUAAUUAGGCAAUAGAUAUCAUUUGGACUCGUGGUGAAAUCGCACAAUCCCAACUAUAUCUUACAUAAUGAAUUAAACUUAUCCUUACAAAAUAUUGAAAUUAAGUCAUUAAAUAAAACAAACAUCUGAUGAUCGAGGAAUAAAAUUUGGAUGAACAUACAUCAUCUACCUGUACACAUCAAUUCUUAAGUAUAAACAAC